This 414-nucleotide ribosomal RNA is filed under the name uncultured microorganism. RNAcentral's name for it is "bacterial SSU rRNA". It matches the Rfam family "Archaeal small subunit ribosomal RNA", at positions 459 to 872 of the family's 1478-position model. The record is from RNAcentral.
CAGCCGCCGCGGUAAUACCGGCGGCCCGAGUGGCGGUCACUAUUAUUGGGCUUAAAGCGUCCGUAGCCGGGUUGGGAAGUCCUCCGGGAAAUCUGGCCGCUUAACGGUCAGAAUGCCGGAGGAUACUCCCAGCCUAGGGGGCGGGAGAGGCCGAGGGGAUUCCCGGAGUAGGGGUGAAAUCCUAUAAUCCCGGGAGGACCACCUGGGGCGAAGGCGCUCGGCUGGAACGCGUCCGACGGUGAGGGACGAAGGCCAGGGGAGCAAACCGGAUUAGAUACCCGGGUAGUCCUGGCUGUAAACGAUGCGGACUUUGUGUCGGACAAGCUAUGAGCUUGUCCGGUGCCGGAGGGAAACCGUUAAGUCCGCCGCCUGGGGAGUACGGCCGCAAGGCUGAAACUUAAAGGAAUUGGCGGG